UACGUAGGGGGGCAAGCGUUGUCCGGAUUCAUUGGGCGUAAAGAGCGUGUAGGCGGCCAGGUAGGUCGGUUGUGAAAACUGGAGGCUCAACCUUCAGAGGUCGACCGAAACCAUCUGGCUAGAGUCCGGGAGAGGAGAGUGGAAUUCCUGGUGUAGCGGUGAAAUGCGCAGAUAUCAGGAAGAACACCCGUGGCGAAAGCGGCUCUCUGGAACGGUACUGACGCUGAGACGGCGAAAGCCAGGGGAGCGAACGGG
RNAcentral lists this ribosomal RNA (255 nucleotides) under uncultured bacterium. Its description in RNAcentral is "partial 16S ribosomal RNA". It matches the Rfam family "Bacterial small subunit ribosomal RNA", at positions 524 to 776 of the family's 1533-position model. The record is from RNAcentral.